This 65-nucleotide transfer RNA is filed under the name Gryllotalpa pluvialis. RNAcentral describes it as "tRNA-Asn". The record is from RNAcentral. Lineage: Eukaryota; Metazoa; Arthropoda; Insecta; Orthoptera; Gryllotalpidae.
UUAACUGAAACCAAAAAAGAGGUAUGUUAAUGUUAAUAACAUCAUUGAAUUUCAUUCCAGUUAAA